Oncorhynchus kisutch (coho salmon) is the source of this 532-nucleotide non-coding RNA. Lineage: Eukaryota; Metazoa; Chordata; Actinopteri; Salmoniformes; Salmonidae. The record is from the annotation of a RefSeq genome assembly.
GGGGGAGGGGCCUCAAUGACCCUGGGGGAAGGGCCUCAGUGAGAGCCGUACUCUGUGUACAAUGAGGUUGAAUGUCAUUCACAGAGAUGAUGAGUGACAUGACGCAUCCUAUAGUCCUCCUGAGUUGGCUGUUUCUCCUGUCCCCAAGUCAGUGUGGAGCAGCAGGCCCCAUAGUGCUUCAGCCCAGACAGCUCCUCACCCUUCCUGGUAACACCACCACCUCCAGUCCAGUCACCCUGCAGUGCUCCCUGGGUCCAGGCUUCAGCAUGCCCAGCUACACCAUGAUGUGGUACCGACAGGUCCGCUAUGGAGGCCCAGUGGAGUUCCUCAUUAAGGAGUACGAGAAAACCCAGGGGCGAUACAAAGAGGACCUGGACACAUCGGGGAACAGGUUCAUCCUGCAGAUUUCUGAGCUGGUUGUGGAGGACAGUGGUGUCUACUACUGCGCUGCUAGUCACGGUGAAACAACAGCCUGAAGAGCAGUACAAAUACAACACUCCUCUGUUUACUAUACAUGACGUGGUGUCUGAGU